GAUGAACGCUGGCGGCGUGCCUAAUACAUGCAAGUCGAGCGAACAGAUGAGGAGCUUGCUCCUGACGUUAGCGGCGGACGGGUGAGUAACACGUGGAUAACCUACCUAUAAGACUGGGAUAACUUCGGGAAACCGGAGCUAAUACCGGAUAAUAUAUUGAACCGCAUGGUUCAAUAGUGAAAGACGGUUUUGCUGUCACUUAUAGAUGGAUCCGCGCCGCAUUAGCUAGUUGGUAAGGUAACGGCUUACCAAGGCAACGAUGCGUAGCCGACCUGAGAGGGUGAUCGGCCACACUGGAACUGAGACACGGUCCAGACUCCUACGGGAGGCAGCAGUAGGGAAUCUUCCGCAAUGGGCGAAAGCCUGACGGAGCAACGCCGCGUGAGUGAUGAAGGUCUUCGGAUCGUAAAACUCUGUUAUUAGGGAAGAACAAAUGUGUAAGUAACUAUGCACGUCUUGACGGUACCUAAUCAGAAAGCCACGGCUAACUACGUG
RNAcentral lists this ribosomal RNA (495 nucleotides) under uncultured bacterium. RNAcentral describes it as "partial 16S ribosomal RNA". It matches the Rfam family "Bacterial small subunit ribosomal RNA", at positions 28 to 507 of the family's 1533-position model. The record is from RNAcentral.